Podarcis lilfordi (Lilford's wall lizard) is the source of this 75-nucleotide non-coding RNA. The record is from the annotation of a GenBank genome assembly. Lineage: Eukaryota; Metazoa; Chordata; Lepidosauria; Squamata; Lacertidae.
GGAAGGACUGUGGUUCAGUGGUAGAGCAUCUCCUUUGCAAGCUGAAGGUCCCAUGUUCAAUCCUUGGUGUUUCCA